UCGUAGGUCAGCAUACUACGGUGAAUACGUUCCCGGGUCUUGUACACACCGCCCGUCAAACCAUGAGAGUUGGCAACACCCGAAGUCGGUAGUCUAACCGCAAGGAGGACGCCGCCGAAGGUGGGGUUGAUGAUUAGGGUUAAGUCGUAACAAGGUAAC
This 159-nucleotide ribosomal RNA is filed under the name uncultured bacterium. Its description in RNAcentral is "partial 16S ribosomal RNA". It matches the Rfam family "Bacterial small subunit ribosomal RNA", at positions 1342 to 1500 of the family's 1533-position model. The record is from RNAcentral.